RNAcentral lists this ribosomal RNA (778 nucleotides) under uncultured Neocallimastigales. RNAcentral's name for it is "partial large subunit ribosomal RNA". It matches the Rfam family "Eukaryotic large subunit ribosomal RNA", at positions 22 to 637 of the family's 3401-position model. Lineage: Eukaryota; Fungi; Neocallimastigomycota; Neocallimastigomycetes; Neocallimastigales. The record is from RNAcentral.
GUACACGCUGUGACUAUGCAUAUCAAUAAGCGGAGGAAAAGAAACUAACAAGGAUUCCCCUAGUAACGGCGAGUGAAGCGGGAAGAGCUCAAAUUUGAAAUCUUAAAGGGUUUCCCUUUACGAAUUGUAGUUUAAAGAAGUGUUUUCUGUUGAGGUUUUGGUAAAAGUUCUUUGGAAUAGGACAUCAUAGAGGGUGAGAAUCCCGUAUUUGACCUUUACUUUCAACUUUGUGAUACACUUUCAAAGAGUCGGAUUGUUUGGGAAUGCAGUCCAAAAUGGGUGGUAAAUUUCAUCUAAAGCUAAAUAUUGGCGAGAGACCGAUAGCGAACAAGUACCGUGAGGGAAAGAUGAAAAGAACUUUGAAAAGAGAGUUAAACAGUACGUGAAAUUGUCAAAAGGGAAGCGUUUGACACCAGUGUUUGUUUUUCUGAAAAUCAAUUAAAGAACUGUUUAUGCUAAGCUUGUUUAGACUUUAUCAGCUAAUCUGUUUAGUUUUGAGCUUUUCUUUAAUGCACUUUUCAGUUAACAAGUCAACAUCAAUUUCUUUUGCUGUAAAAAAGCUUGAGGAAGGUGGCUUGAGAUUCGUCUUAAGUGUUUAUAGCCUCUUGCCUAUGCAGUCGGAGAGAUUGAGGUCUGCAGCGUAGAUCCUUCGGGGCUAAAUGCAUUUGUGCUAAGUUAUAGCAUUUUAUAGACAACUUGUUGACUAUGAUUUGUCUUGUAGCUUACUCGCUUAUGUUAUUUUACCUACGCUUAGGAUGUUGACAGCAGUAUAGACUGU